This 832-nucleotide ribosomal RNA is filed under the name Limosilactobacillus mucosae. Its description in RNAcentral is "bacterial SSU rRNA". It matches the Rfam family "Bacterial small subunit ribosomal RNA", at positions 8 to 796 of the family's 1533-position model. Lineage: Bacteria; Bacillati; Bacillota; Bacilli; Lactobacillales; Lactobacillaceae. The record is from RNAcentral.
AGAGUUUGAUCCUGGCUCAGGAUGAACGCCGGCGGUGUGCAUAAUACAUGCAAGUCGAACGCGUUGGCCCAACUGAUUGAACGUGCUUGCACGGACUUGAUGUUGAUUUACCAGCGAGUGGCGGACGGGUGAGUAACACGUAGGUAACCUGCCCCAAAGCGGGGGAUAACAUUUGGAAACAGAUGCUAAUACCGCAUAACAAUUUGAAUCGCAUGAUUCAAAUUUAAAAGAUGGCUUCGGCUAUCACUUUGGGAUGGACCUGCGGCGCAUUAGCUUGUUGGUAGGGUAACGGCCUACCAAGGCUGUGAUGCGUAGCCGAGUUGAGAGACUGAUCGGCCACAAUGGAACUGAGACACGGUCCAUACUCCUACGGGAGGCAGCAGUAGGGAAUCUUCCACAAUGGGCGCAAGCCUGAUGGAGCAACACCGCGUGAGUGAAGAAGGGUUUCGGCUCGUAAAGCUCUGUUGUUAGAGAAGAACGUGCGCGAGAGUAACUGUUCACGCAGUGACGGUAUCUAACCAGAAAGUCACGGCUAACUACGUGCCAGCAGCCGCGGUAAUACGUAGGUGGCAAGCGUUAUCCGGAUUUAUUGGGCGUAAAGCGAGCGCAGGCGGUUUGAUAAGUCUGAUGUGAAAGCCUUUGGCUUAACCAAAGAAGUGCAUCGGAAACUGUCAGACUUGAGUGCAGAAGAGGACAGUGGAACUCCAUGUGUAGCGGUGGAAUGCGUAGAUAUAUGGAAGAACACCAGUGGCGAAGGCGGCUGUCUGGUCUGCAACUGACGCUGAGGCUCGAAAGCAUGGGUAGCGAGCAGGAUUAGAUACCCUAGUAGUCC